This 532-nucleotide ribosomal RNA is filed under the name uncultured bacterium. RNAcentral describes it as "bacterial SSU rRNA". It matches the Rfam family "Bacterial small subunit ribosomal RNA", at positions 777 to 1307 of the family's 1533-position model. The record is from RNAcentral.
AAUAGAUACCCGGGUAGUCCACGCCGUAAACGAUGAGUGCUAAGUGUUAGAGGGUUUCCGCCCUUUAGUGCUGCAGCAAACGCAUUAAGCACUCCGCCUGGGGAGUACGGCCGCAAGGCUGAAACUCAAAGGAAUUGACGGGGGCCCGCACAAGCGGUGGAGCAUGUGGUUUAAUUCGAAGCAACGCGAAGAACCUUACCAGGUCUUGACAUCUCCUGACAACCCUAGAGAUAGGGAGUUCCCCUUCGGGGGACAGGAUGACAGGUGGUGCAUGGUUGUCGUCAGCUCGUGUCGUGAGAUGUUGGGUUAAGUCCCGCAACGAGCGCAACCCUUGAUCUUAGUUGCCAGCAUUCAGUUGGGCACUCUAAGGUGACUGCCGGUGACAAACCGGAGGAAGGUGGGGAUGACGUCAAAUCAUCAUGCCCCUUAUGACCUGGGCUACACACGUGCUACAAUGGAUGGUACAAAGGGCUGCGAGACCGCGAGGUUAAGCGAAUCCCAUAAAACCAUUCUCAGUUCGGAUUGCAGGCUG